UUAAAGGGUGCCCACUUAGUGAGCUGAGAUUAAACCCAUAUACCUGAUCCAGAUAAUGCUGGCGUAGGAAUAAAGGAAACU
Molecule: non-coding RNA, 81 nt
Filed under: uncultured Prevotella sp.
Lineage: Bacteria; Pseudomonadati; Bacteroidota; Bacteroidia; Bacteroidales; Prevotellaceae
Source: RNAcentral